AAUUUGUGCAAGCACUAAUGUUCUAGAAAUGUAAAUUUUGCAAUAUUUCCUUCCAAUAUGUGGUAGGUGUUUUUCCCCAGGUUCCCUCACAAAUGCUAAACCAAUGCUGAAUGAUGUUAUUCUUGCACUCAGGUGGACACCAAUUCCAAGUCAUUGUGUUGUUCAGGGAGCAGGAACUCCAAAUUCACCAGCAUAGCCCUCAAAGUAAUGGAGGCAGUGGAAACUUGCAAUGAAGGUCUUAAAUGCCAAGGAACACAGGAAGCAACCAUCCAUCCCAUCCAUCCCAUCCUUCACACAAAACCAAGGACAGAAACAAGUGUAAGGAAAUAGCAAGAGACAAUUGCCGACAGUGAUGUAGUCAUCUUUUUGUGGGUAUACGCAACUCCUCUCCAAUGUGUGGCAUUGCCGCAGGGAAGUCAGGGUAUACAAAUGCCCUGGAGGAUUAACAUCAAAGAAAUGCACCAAUAUGCAAGUCAAUUAUUGUACGAAGUUUCCUUUGAUUAUACAUAAGUUUAGCAUCCUGAAUUAUGUUAUAAUGACUUUUCAUUAUUUGAGCCAAAGGCAAUAACAUGGUGAUCAGUAAUAGUAGGAUGGUUACAAUUGGACUGCAUAAUUAUGAAGAUCAGCACAUGUUGCUCAUUUCCCAUUCCCAAAGGAGACUAUUAAGAUGCAUCCUUCCAGACCCACUGCAAAGCUUGUGGGAAGUGAACUCCCACCACCCGACAUCAGUCUAAAGAAGGGUUGACCCGAAACGUCGCCUAUUCUUUCUCUCCAUAGAUGCUGCGUUUCUCCAGCAUUUUUGUCUACAUUUGGAUAUUAAUAGGGUACGUUCCAAAGUACUAAGUCAUCAAACAUGCCCGAAAGGAAGAUAUUUGGAAAAAUGGGAAUGCUGUAAUACCUACCUUGCAGAGGGCCACAAAAUGAACAUGCCAUGCAGGCUUAACAGAUACAUGACAUUAAUCAUAAAGAUUUUAAGUGUUUGACCACUUCUCUAUUCUCAAAUCUCUAUUUUCAGGGAAUAACAGUUCUGGAAGUUCAUGAAGAGAUCAAAUCAAAUGUGGAGUCAAAACCACCAUCCAUGAUGGUUGUUUUUUUACCCCUUAAAUCUCCAACAAAUCUACAUCUGGGCAAAAUCUUAUGCCUACAUAUACGUAAACAAUUGGUGUAUUAUCAUGUGUUGUAAGAUUUUGCAUGAUGCAGGCUUAUCAAAUACACGAACACAGAUAGAUGAAGAGAAAGGAAAUAAUGGAGCAUAGUUUUACAGCUACAGGAAAAGAACAAAUAAAAAAAGGUGCAAAGUACACAUUAGAUUGGAAGCCUGGGAAUAUAUUUUUGCCAUAUGAGAGCUUCAUUCAAGAGUCUGAUGUACUGUGGGGAAGAAACUGUUCUUGAAUUUUAUGAUAAAUGUUUUUAAAAUAUUUGCAUCUUCAGCCCAAUGGGAGUGGGGAGAAAACAGAAUAACUGAGGUACGGGUAAUCCUUGAUUACAAUGGCUACUUUCAGCGCAUAUAUCUACAUGCCUAUUGGUUUCUCUAAAUACAACAAUGAAUUCCCUUCACCUUGGGAAGCAUUCCACAACAUUCCACACUGCAAUGACUGGACAUGGAGAUUCACAUCAUGUACCAGCCUGGAAUGAUGCCAGAGGCAAAAUAUUUAUCUAUUUCAAUACACAGGAGGUCCAGACAGAUGUACCAUUCUGAUGCCUUUCCUCACGGGGCGGGCAUAGUUGCGUAGCAGUAGAGUUGUUGCCUUACAGCGCUUGCAGCGCCAGAGACCCGGGUUCGAUCCAGACUAUGGGUGCUGUCUGCACGGAGUUUGCACGUUCCCCCUGUGACCUGCAUGGGUUCUCUCUGAGAUCGUCAGUUUCCUUCCACAUUUCAAAGAUGUACAGGUUUGCAGGUUAAUUGGCUUGGUAUAAGUGUAAAUUGUCCCUAGCGUGUGUUAAUGUGCGGGAAUUGUUGGUCAGUGCAGACUCAGUAGGCCAAAAUGCCCGUUUCAACACAGUAUUGAUAAACUAAAACUAAUAAACUCACGGACUGGAAAAGUUUAACCUCUGAAUGCACUGUUCUUCAGGCAGUUGGUGGCAAGCUUUGGAAUGAAAUGUAAACUCUCCCAAGUCAGUCUCCAGACUUUCUUCCUUCAGGUUUAUGAACAAAUUCAUGUCAUAUGAGCAGAAUUAGACAAUUUGGCCCAUAAAGUCUACUUCACCAUUCAAUCAUGGUUGAUCUAUCUUUCCCUGUCAACCCCAUUGUCCUACCUUCACCCUAUAACCUUUGAUAUCCUUACUAAUGAAGAAUCUGUCAAUCUCUGCUUUAAAUCUCUGCAAUAACUUGGCCUUCACAGCUGUCUCUGGCAAUGAAUUCCACAGAUUCACCACCACCUCUUCAGCAAGACUACACAAAUAUCCACAAUGUGCCACAACCUUGAUUCGCUGCACAGCCAAGUUCACCAAGCAACCUGUACUCUUGCCCUUUGGAAUGAAACACUCUGCUUUGCUUGGCUCUUUAGCUAAGUUUCUAGUAAUUCUAUUAAACUGCAUUGGUAUACACUUAUACCAAGCCAAUUAACCUGCCCAUCCCAAUUUAUUGCAAAGGGCAGCUAAAGAAGUCAAUACUCAUGUGCAGUCUGAAAAUUAUGGGGAUCCAGCAACUUGCAUUUUAUUUUUACAAAUGCACACGAGACACUGCAUGGUAGUAGCAAAAGAGUAUUCAUAGUGAUCGCAUGGGGCUGGAAGAACUAGCUAAUGGAUAUCAGGGAGAAAAUAUGUGAUAACAAUCCCGCCUCUCAGUUUGCACACCAUCUCUAGUGUGGUUCAAUGAUAAUUCAAUUUUUAGAGACCAUAAUCACAUUUAAACUUUAUCCAAUUUGGAUCACUUAUUAACUUAACCCCUAAUCAAAAUUGUAGAUGAAAUUUAAUGUUGAGAACUAUGUCGUGCUAUAUUUUGAUAGGACGAUUGAGAAGAGGCAAUAUAAACUAGAGGACAACUCUAAAAAGGUUACAGAAAUCAAGAGUUCUGGGAAUAUAUGUGCACAGCUCAUUCACAUGGCAGGCCACGUUGAUAAAAUGUUGUUGUUUUUUAAAGCACAUGGUAUCUUGGACCAAGGAGUACUUUAGCAAGGAAAUCAUUGUGAAACUUCAGAAAAUGGAGUUCUGCCAUAACUGAUGUGUAGUGAUAGUUCUGACCAACUCACUUCAGAAAAGAUAUGACAAUAUUAGUGAUUUACCAGAAUGAUUACAGGGAUUAGCUUUACUUAUGUGGAUAUAGAAAGACUGGAUUUGUACCCUUAAGCCAGAAAUAAAUUGAGGUAAUGAUAUAGAUAUUUAACAUCAUGAUGGUAUAAAGAUGAAUAGAUAGAAAUGGUUCCCAAUGAAGGGGUCAAAAACAAGAUGUAGAAUGAAGAUGUUUGGCAGAAGAACUAAAAGUUAUAACCCUCGUCCAUGCAUUUUGUUAUUUGUACACUUAUUUAUCCCAAAACUGCCCCAGACUCCACCAAUCUGUACAAACCUCCAUGUCAUUUACACACAACAUUCAUAUCAACUUGCACCUAGUCUCAUUCAUCCAGAUACUCAUCAGUUCUACAUUGUGAGUCAUAGAUAAAUAUAGCCACAAUUUUAAAAUGCUUAUUCUUCCACUCAAAACAGUUUCAGCUGCCUCAGUUGCCUUUGAUGAAACUAUCUGCCCCAUCCAUUUCUAACCUUUUGGGUAUCUUUGACUUGAGGAUGUGCUGCUUUAGACUCUAGAAUUUUCACCAUAAAUCUUUAUUUCUUUUCUUUAAGGAUCUCCACAAAACCAGUUU
Long non-coding RNA from Leucoraja erinaceus (little skate), 3797 nucleotides. RefSeq lists it as uncharacterized. NCBI's taxonomy places the organism in Eukaryota, Metazoa, Chordata, Chondrichthyes, Rajiformes, Rajidae. The record is from RefSeq and is a predicted model, not a curated record. The transcript is spliced from 2 exons.